Long non-coding RNA from Felis catus (domestic cat), 2503 nucleotides. RefSeq lists it as uncharacterized. The record is from RefSeq and is a predicted model, not a curated record. The transcript has 4 exons. Lineage: Eukaryota; Metazoa; Chordata; Mammalia; Carnivora; Felidae.
UGCUAUUAUCCUCUGUGAUUAUUUUGACUUGCUUUGAAAUGUUUAUUCAAAUAGUUACAUGAAUGACUAAUCAAAAGGAUUGUUCAAACUGCCUUACAGAUGUGAAACACCUUCACAAUAAUAACAAGGUUUGCGAGGAACCCGUAUUAUGCUUUUAAUUGCUUUUGUCAGUCAAAAAUAUCAACUGAGUACCCAGUUGAAGCUGAAUGCUGCAUGGAAGCUGGGAGAUGGCAAGAGAAAGAAAGCCCAGAAAACCCUCGAAUAACUUGAAUGCUUGAGACAUAUAUGCUCUGAUGACCUAGGUUUUCAGGCAACAGCGGUAAACUUCCAGAGCAACGUCCACAUUGUGAGGACACGUGGAUUCUGCCCGAGGUCACAAAAAGUGCACGUGGACCCUCAGCCCAGAUGGCUAGGUAGAAGGCCCAUUGAGAAGCUGGAAGUUCUCAAUCUGUUGAAAUCCAUGGAGAUUUUCCUUCUUGUGAGUCUUCCACUCACUGUACUGCGUAGACGAGAGUCUUUACAGCAGGUCUGCGGUUUAAAAUCCUGUAGUUCAGCAAGGAGUGCGAUGGAGGCUGGCCUGCUUUGUCGUGCAUCCAUUUGGAUUUUCUCUGUUGAGAACCCCAAGAAAGUCCUCAGGGAGCAGAGGAGAGAACUGUAAUAAAAUGAUAAUGAGGGGGCCCAGGACCCUCACAAAGGGACUGUUGCUAUAAGUAGUUACUUCAAGGAAGUUUCCUGCUGCUUCUCCAGUCCUUGUUGGAUUUGUUGAUGCCAAACCAAAGCGUGUGGAUGCAGCCCCCUCAGAGCCUGAGAGAAAAGUGUGCUGAGAGGCAGGCUUAGAAAUGGAAACAGAGGAAGUGGCUUUUCUCCUCCUCUCUUUGGUGUAACCGGAGUGUCUUCACAGCCUGCUUCCAGGUGUGCAUGCCUGCUGUGCUCUGGGACUGCUGAGCCGGACCAUGCCUGAGCCACGGGCCAUCUUUUUGGCAUAAGAAGGCUGUUAAGCCUCGCUGGCCCUGCCCCCAGAUUUUCACCCCACCCCUGACAUCUCAUCUCUCAGCCGUGUAGAAGAGGCGGGGAAGGCCGAACAUGCCUCCAAAGACAGAGGAGGUUUCAUCUGAAGACCUGAAAAGACUUCCUGUCAAUGGCUUCAUCUCAAGCUUAAUAGAGCUUCGCUUGUUUCACCACAUGAGCCACAUGGCCAUGCUGGAGAGAAUGGCAGUCCUUAAAGAGCAUGCCCUAAAGGGAAGAGUUGACAACUGCUAACAGUUUCUCUUGCCAUAUUGAACACCAGAGCCCUUGGCGCCAUUGCCCCAUAGUGCCUAUAGUCUUGUUUCUGAUGCCCAGAAAAAUUCCCUCCACUCGGACUGCACUGAUCACACAUCCUCAGGGCCUACUGUGUAAAAAUGCAUUACAUGUACUAUCUCAUUUAAUUCGCACAACUAUCCUAUGAACGACUAUCAUUAUCUCCAUCUCAUUACCUACAUUUAAGAGAAACAAUAGUGGCUUAUAAGUCACACAUCUGCCAUAUGGAUUCAGAAUUUGAACCUGUGCUCCUAACUUCUUUACUGUUAGGUGAGGAAGAGGUUGGAGCUCCCCCUAGUGGUCAUCCUGUGAAAUCAACCGUUCCUACAGUGAUUGAUUUCUGCCUAAUUGCCUCCCCUCUUCCAUUGUUGCAUCCAGUCCCUACCCAAUCUCUUCUUCCCAAAGUCUGGCCCUUAGAGUCUUCAGUCCCAAAUUUCAUCAUCUCUCCACCUUAGCCCUUAUUUUCAUCUCUAUCCAGAGAGGCCCUAAACUCUUGUAUUUAUCUGAUUUCAAGCAGUUCACCCUAUCCCUUGGGGAGCUUUAUAUUAAAAAACAAAUAAACAAACAAUCUAAAAGCAAAAGCAAAAACAAAACAAAACAGAACAAAAGACCUCACAGGUCUCUCCAUAUAAUUCUUUGUACAUCCUUCCAUCUCUGGAUUUGGCAGCCUCUUCUCUGAAGAUAGCAUUUCUCUUCUAAUCCUCUCCAACGUAUCUUUCUCUUAGUCCUUUGCCUUCACUGAACAAACGGUGGGGAUGGCACGCACCAUCUCCCGAGACUUCUGCCCACCAUCGUUGUGUCACAUUUAUCAAUAAGCUUGCCAAGCUGAAAUUCACAUACCAGUGUUUAUAACACUUUCUUGCUUGCCUUAGUGACCCCAGCACUUGGCUCACAGACUUCCUUUCCUUGCUAAAGUUCGAGGAACUCCGACAUAAAGACUGAUCAUUCUCCCGACUCCUCACUCAGGCACAGAUCAAGUUCCGUAUCCUCAGGGAGUUCUGUCUUGCUUCCACAGAGUGGCUCACUUGGGUGAUGCGAAUGAUCACCUUGGGCAGAUCGGCAUUAACUUCUCUGGAGCUAAUGAAACGAAGUUUGAAUUCUAGGCCAGUGGCUGCGUGCCUCUGAGCAAAUGGUUUAUCUGUCGUCGUGUUCCUUAACUUAUUCACAUGUAAAGUGGGCUAAUAAUAAAUACCCUACUCACUGG